AGUGAACGCUGGCGGUAGGCCUAACACAUGCAAGUCGAACGGCAGCACAGUAAGAGCUUGCUCUUACGGGUGGCGAGUGGCGGACGGGUGAGGAAUACAUCGGAAUCUACUUUUUCGUGGGGGAUAACGUAGGGAAACUUACGCUAAUACCGCAUACGACCUACGGGUGAAAGCAGGGGAUCUUCGGACCUUGCGCGAUUGAAUGAGCCGAUGUCGGAUUAGCUAGUUGGCGGGGUAAAGGCCCACCAAGGCGACGAUCCGUAGCUGGUCUGAGAGGAUGAUCAGCCACACUGGAACUGAGACACGGUCCAGACUCCUACGGGAGGCAGCAGUGGGGAAUAGUGGACAAAGGGCGCAAGCCUGAUCCAGCCAUACCGCGUGGGUGAAGAAGGCCUUCGGGUUGUAAAGCCCUUUUGUUGGGAAAGAAAAGCAGCAGGUUAAUACCCCGCUGUUCUGACGGUACCCAAAGAAUAAGCACCGGCUAACUUCGUG
Molecule: ribosomal RNA, 492 nt
Filed under: uncultured bacterium
Lineage: Bacteria
Description: partial 16S ribosomal RNA
Rfam family: Bacterial small subunit ribosomal RNA
Source: RNAcentral